RNAcentral lists this long non-coding RNA (300 nucleotides) under Hordeum vulgare. RNAcentral describes it as "long non-coding RNA (HVUL_LNC016197)". The record is from RNAcentral. Lineage: Eukaryota; Viridiplantae; Streptophyta; Magnoliopsida; Poales; Poaceae.
UCAAGGUCGGGGAGGCACCGGAGACGGCGAAUCAUCAGCGACGGCGGUCGGAGCAGAGGAAGAAGACGGGGUCGGGGUCGUCGAUCCAGGGGCUCUGGCGUCGAUUCACUUGGCGGUGAGUAUGAGGAAGACCAAGCGAAGCUCGAGGCACGGUCGGGAAGGCGUGGCUAUGGCUGGAGAGGCGUGGCUACGACGACGAGCUCUCGGCUGCGACGGUCACGGCGGCACAGGGGAGAGGAGAGAAGAGGGGGCGCGUCUGGGGGUUGGGAUGGAACGGGACAACGCCGGGAGGCUUAUCCC